AUUGAACGCUGGCGGCAUGCCUUACACAUGCAAGUCGAACGGCAGCACGGGAGCAAUCUUGGUGGCGAGUGGCGAACGGGUGAGUAAUAUAUCGGAACGUGCCCAGUCGUGGGGGAUAACGCAGCGAAAGCUGUGCUAAUACCGCAUACGAUCUAUGGAUGAAAGCGGGGGAUCGCAAGAACUCGCGCCAUUGGAGCGGCCGAUAUCAGAUUAGCUAGUUGGUGAGGUAAAGGCUCACCAAGGCGACGAUCUGUAGCUGGUCUGAGAGGACGACCAGCCACACUGGAACUGAGACACGGUCCAGACUCCUACGGGAGGCAGCAGUGGGGAAUUUUGGACAAUGGGCGAAAGCCUGAUCCAGCAAUGCCGCGUGCAGGAUGAAGGCCUUCGGGUUGUAAACUGCUUUUGUACGGAACGAAACGGUGAGCUCUAAUACAGUUUGCUAAUGACGGUACCGUAAGAAUAAGCACCGGCUAACUACGUGCCAGCCGCCGCUGUAA
RNAcentral lists this ribosomal RNA (500 nucleotides) under uncultured bacterium. RNAcentral describes it as "partial 16S ribosomal RNA". It matches the Rfam family "Bacterial small subunit ribosomal RNA", at positions 30 to 523 of the family's 1533-position model. The record is from RNAcentral.